GACGAACGCUGGCGGCGUGGAUUAGGCAUGCAAGUCGAGCGAUAUCUUACCUUCGGGUAAGUGAAAGCGGCGAACGGGUGAGUAACACGUGAAUAACCUGCCCUCACAUUCCGGAUAAUAGACCGAAAGGUCUUGUAAUACGGGCGAGGAUUUCUCUUAGGCAUCUUAGAGAAAGGGAAGGCGCAAGCCGUGCGAGGAGG
RNAcentral lists this ribosomal RNA (200 nucleotides) under uncultured bacterium. Its description in RNAcentral is "partial 16S ribosomal RNA". It matches the Rfam family "Bacterial small subunit ribosomal RNA", at positions 28 to 227 of the family's 1533-position model. The record is from RNAcentral.